RNAcentral lists this long non-coding RNA (391 nucleotides) under Oryza sativa Indica Group (long-grained rice). RNAcentral describes it as "lncRNA OsZS97_11G003810". The record is from RNAcentral. Lineage: Eukaryota; Viridiplantae; Streptophyta; Magnoliopsida; Poales; Poaceae.
ACUGCAGAUGACAUCCGUAUUGCUGACUGUACUGUAGCAGCAGGAGGAGAUGGGUGCCAGCCUUGGAGAAUCCUGCAGGUGAAAGUGAAAGUGAAACGUGAGGCAGGUGCCAUUGCCAAUGGCAGUGCACGCCACACACAAGCAUCAGCAUCAGCAAAUUCAGCAGCAACAACCAACCAGCAACGCACGCAGCAAACAUCCACAGCAGCUGGCUCCUCCUUCCCCCACUCCAACAGUUUGGCAGCAGCAGCAGCGGCAGCUCGUUUCCUCGUCGCGUGCAUGCACAAUUGCAUAGAGUAUGCAGCUGCAGCCGCAGAGGUGAGUACUCCUGCGUCCCAUAGAAAAACUGGAUCAUAUGACAUCCUAAUACUACGAAUCUGAAUAUACAUAG